This 408-nucleotide ribosomal RNA is filed under the name uncultured bacterium. Its description in RNAcentral is "partial 16S ribosomal RNA". It matches the Rfam family "Bacterial small subunit ribosomal RNA", at positions 28 to 526 of the family's 1533-position model. The record is from RNAcentral.
GACGAACGCUGGCGGCGUGCUUAACACAUGCAAGUCGAACGGAGUGGCGAACGGGUGAGUAACACGUGGGUGACCUGCCCUGCACUUCGGGAUAAGCAUGGGAAACUGGGUCUAAUACCGGAUAGUGUGGGAUGGUCCCGCGGCCUAUCAGAUUGUUGGUGGGGUAAUGGCCUACCAAGGCGGCGACGGGUAGCCGGCCUGGGAGGGUGGACGGCAACAUGGGGACUGAGACACGGCCCAGGCUGCUACGGGAGGCAGCAGUGGGGAAUAUUGCGCAAUGGGCGGAAGCCUGAUGCAGCGACGCCGCGUGGGGGAUGACGGCCUUCGGAUUGUAAACUCCUGUCACCAUCGACGCGGUAGAUGGAGAAGAAGCAUCGGCUAACUACGUUCCAGGAGCCGCGGUAAUAC